GCGCCAUCUUCCUUCCAGCUGCUGAACGGUGGCCCCAUGGUGCGCGCAGGCUGGUGUGCGGAGCGUGCGGAACCAGCGGAGCGGGAUCGGCGUGAGCAGCGUACUGGCUGGUCUCAAACUCCUGAUCCCAGUGAUCCGCCCGCCUCGGCCUCACAAAGUGCUGGGAUUACAGCUGUUUUACCAUGAUGUGCUUAGGUGUUCUUUCAUUUGUAUUCAUCCUAUUUGAGGUUCAUCUGAGGCCAAAUACCUGAUGUCAACUUUCUUUUUGCCACAACUUAGAGAUAACAUAAUAGGGGCAGCCUUUUCAAUAAUAGUAAGAGACAAAAAGUGGCCUAUUAAAUACAGUUACUUUGGAUUUCGGGGAAAGAAUUUCUUCCUUUAUGAGGAAGAAGGCAAGACCCUUUUCAUCUUUGAUCAUUGGUUAGCUAACGGUUUUAAAAGGAUUAGGACUAAAUAUAAAUGCCAAAAUUAUCUUUGUUUUUUGUCAACAUAUAAAAGCAUGUCUUUUAAAUUGUAUGUUUGUUUUUACUUUUGCUUUUAUUAUUUUAAAAAGUCUUAGCAUUGUAAACAAUAUAUUUUGUUGUUGGUGUUAUUAGUUGUGUCUAGCUUAUAAAUCUAAAGCUUUGUUAUUAUAAAAAUGAUACUUGCCUUAUUCAAAUAUUUCUCAAUGCAUUUUUAUACAUAUAGACAUUUUACACAAUAUCCUGUAAAUAGGAUUCUAUUAUACUAUAGUCUGGUGUUUUUAUUCACCAAGAACUUAUGAUACCAUUCCAGGUAAAGAAUUAUAGAUGAUUAUCAGGAUACGCAAGAUGAAACAUGGAUGUCUGUCAUGAUUUAAUAAUGAAUUAUUUGGCAAGUGUGGAAGUUGCUAUGAUAUGUAUUGUGGGUGGAAUUGUGUCCCCCAAAAUGAUGUCCUGAAGUCUUAACUUCUGGUACCUGUGAAUGUGACUUUAUUUGGAAAUAGGGUCUUUGCAAAUGCAAUCAAGUUAGGUUGAGAUCAUACUAGAUUCGGGUGAGCCCGAAAUCCACUGACUGGUUUUCCUCUAAGGAGAGAGAGAUUUGGAGACACAGAUUCCCAGGGAGGAGUACCAUGUGACUACAGGGGCAGAGACUGGAGCAAUACAGCUGCAAGCGGAGGAAUGUCAAGAAUUGCCAGCAACCACCAGAAGCUAGGAAGAAAAAGGAAGACUCCUCUCUGGGGCCCUCAGAAGGAACAUGAUGGCCAAUACCUUAAUUCUGGACAUCUGGCUUCCAGGACUGUGAGAGAAUACAUUUGUGUUGUUUUAGCCACCUAGUCUGUGGUAAUUUGUUACAGGAGCUGUCUAAGAAACUAAUAUAAUAUGUUAUGCUGAAUUAUUUUAUUUUAUAUUAUGUAUUUCUCUACAGCUGGAAAUAAGUUAUUAUUAGUGUCAUGUGUCCCAUAUAUCAUGGGUUGACAUUUCAAUUCUAAUUAAAGAAGCAACUAUUUUGACAUGUAAGUGGAAUGUGGAAUUUAGGAACUACGACAUUAUAUAUCUCUGAUAAGUUUUCAAGCAAACUUUAUCCACUUCUAGUCUCCUCAAUUAAAAAGGGACAUGAAAAAUGUGGAGAUUCAUUAAUUGAGACCAACAAAAAAGGCUAACAGGCUGAAAAAUAAGGGUAUUAGUCACAGACUUAGAAAGCUGAAUGGGGACAUUAGUGACCAUCCACCCUGGGGCUGGCAUACUGCCAGCACACACCCUGCCUUUCCACUGCAGACACCAUCCAAACAGGGUGCUGCUCAGCCCUGGCCCAGACCCAGCCUCAUAGUCCUCCUCUGCACAGUGUACCAGGCAGUUGUAACCAACUGAUAGAGAUAGCCCAAAAGAAAGCCUAUUAGCUAUUAUGGUCCAGUCAAGUCUUUUCAUUUACAGAUGAAAACACUGAAGCCCAAGGAGAGAAAGGGAGCUAAUUGUAGGACCCAGAAUAAGUUAAGAACUGGAUGUUAAUCCCCAAAUUCCCGUCUUGUGCCUACUUCACCGCCAUAUCCCCUCCUAAGCAGUAAUCAAAGGAUAAAAAUCUCUUUUGGGGGGAGGGGCUGGGGUACAUAAUUUGGGGCUAUCAAGAUUUCCUUCAAAAUCUUAAACGGGUUCCAUGUAACUCCCUAAUGGUAUGACUGGGGUCCAAUAGAAACAUUAAGUAUCUCAGGAUACAGAAUUGAACUUGAGUAGUUAGUGUAAUUCUAAUGGUUAAGGAUUGUGGUAGUGGUUGGGGAAGAGAAGGAAAAGAGCAGAUGCUGUUGCUAGAGGGCAAGGACCAUACCACUUUGAUUUCCCCAUGUUGUUAUUUGACAAGACUUAUUUAAUAAACCUUGUGCUUCACCAUAGGGACAUCCAGAGGGGUAAAAGAAAGACUUCUUCCUCAAGGAGGUCAAUACAUUUAUGCUGGAAGCUAGAAGCCAAUGGAGUCAAGCCUUCAAUAUUCUGAGAUAAUAUAUUUCAAAUCUAGAAUUCCAUACUUUCUCAUAUGAAAACUAAAGUGUUAGGAUGGAAUAAAUAUAUUCAGAAAGUUGAAUGAUGUGCUUCACCAACAUGAGUGAGUAAAGAAGGAAGACAUAAGGAAUCCUGGGUAUGGGGCACCUGCCACAAGAUGCAGCAAUGGGAAUUCCCAGGAUGACAGUGAAAAGAAACAUAAUAGCUGUGCAGAAGUCCUCAAAGAGGAGCAGGGAGGCAGAGGGAUCUGAGAGCAAUGUCCCCAAAACAAUCAAGAAAAUGUAUCAAACCGAUCUACUGCCAGAUUUUAAAAACUAUAAUGAGAGGAAUUUUAUAUAUCUGGGCCAGUUGGGUGUGAAUUAAUGAUAGGUACAUGGAAAUGGAGCAAUUGAAAGGAUAAGGCAAUUAUUAACUCAAAAGAAAACAAAAAGUUGUACAUUACAUAAUACAAACGCAGAAGUAAACUCUCACAUAUAUGGUCAAAUGAUUUUUGACAAGGCUGCCAAGACUACUUAAUGGGGAGAGGACAUUCUUUUCAACAAAUUGUGCAGGGAAAACUGGAUAUUCAUUUGAAAAAGAACAAAGUUGAAUUCUUACCUUACACCAUAUCCAAAAAUUAACUGAAAAUAGGUCAAAAACCUUAAUGCAAGAGCUAAAACUAUCAAGCUGUUAUAAGAAAACAUAGGGAAAAAGCUUCAUGACACUGGAUUUGGCAAUGACUUAUUAGAUGUAACACCAAAAGCACAAGCAACAAAGGCAAAAGUAGACAAAUGGGACUACCUCAAAAUUAAAAACUUUUGUGCAUCAAAAGAUACUAUCGGAUUGGAAAGGCAACUCACAGAAUGGGAGAAAAUAUUUUCAAAUAAUGUAUCUGAUAACGGAUUAUAUCCAGGAUACAAAAAGAACUACAAUCCAACAAGAAAAAAACCAACCUAAUUAAGAUGGGCAAAAACUUAGACAUUUCUCCAAAGAUGAUUUAUAAAUGGCCAAUAAGCACAUGAAAAGAUGUUCAAAAUCACAGUUCAUUACAGAAAUACAAAUGAAAACUAUAAUGAGAUACCACUUCAUCCAUUAGGAUGGCCAUUACGUAAAAAAAAAGGAAAAUUACAUAUAGAAUUAUCAUAGGAUCUGGCAAUUCUACUUCUUUGUAUAUACCCCAAAGACUUGAAAGCAGAGACUUGAAGAGAUAUUUGUAUUCCCAAGUCUAUAGCAUAUUAUUCAUAAUAGCAAAAAUGUGGAAGCAACCAAAAUAUCUACUGAAAGAGUGGAUAAACCACAUGUGUAUAUACAUACGAUGGAAUAUUAUUAAGCCUUAACAAGGGAGGAAAUUCUGACACAUGCUACAACAUGGAUGAAUCUUGAAG
This 3814-nucleotide long non-coding RNA is filed under the name Homo sapiens (human). RNAcentral's name for it is "HSALNT0041499". Lineage: Eukaryota; Metazoa; Chordata; Mammalia; Primates; Hominidae. The record is from RNAcentral.